AGUCGUAACAAGGUCUCCGUAGGUGAACCUGCGGAGGGAUCAUUACAGAGAACAUCGCCCGCGAGGGUGACUCUCCAACCCUAUGUUAACUAUACCUUUGUUGCUUUGGCGGGCCGCUUCGGCCACCGGCUCACGCUGGUGCGUGCCCGCCAGAGGACCCCCCUAAACUCUGUUUAAAAAUGUCGUCUGAGUACUAUAUAAUAGUUAAAACUUUCAACAACGGAUCUCUUGGUUCUGGCAUCGAUGAAGAACGCAGCGAAAUGCGAUAAGUAAUGUGAAUUGCAGAAUUCAGUGAAUCAUCGAAUCUUUGAACGCACAUUGCGCCCUGUGGUAUUCCGCAGGGCAUGCCUGUUCGAGCGUCAGUACAACACUCAAGCCUAGCUUGGUCUUGGGCCUCGCCGGAAACGGCGGGCCUUAAAAUCAGUGGCGGCGCCUCUUGGGCCCUAAGCGUAGUAAUACUCCUCGCUACAGGGUCCCUCGAGAUGUUGGCCAGCAACCCCCAACUUUCUAAGUUUGACCUCGGAUCAGGUAGGGAUACCCGCUGAACUUAAGCAUAUCAAUAAGCGGAGGAAAAGAAACCAACAGGGAUUGCCUCAGUAACGGCGAGUGAAGCGGCAACAGCUCAAAUUUGAAAUCUGGCUCUUUCAGGGCCCGAGUUGUAAUUUGUAGAAGAUGCUUCGAGCGUGGCACCAGCCUAAGUUCCUUGGAACAGGACGUCAUAGAGGGUGAGAAUCCCGUAUGCGGCCGGCCGCCUUCGUUCAUGUGAAGCUCUUUCGACGAGUCGAGUUGUUUGGGAAUGCAGCUCAAAAUGGGUGGUAUAUUUCAUCUAAAGCUAAAUAUUGGCCAGAGACCGAUAGCGCACAAGUAGAGUGAUCGAAAGAUGAAAAGCACUUUGGAAAGAGAGUUAAACAGUACGUGAAAUUGUUGAAAGGGAAGCGCUUGCAACCAGACUUGCACGUUGCCGAUCAUCUGGGGUUCUCCCCAGUGCACUCGGUUGCGUUCAGGCCAGCAUCGGUUUGGGUGGUUGGAUAAAGGCCUUGGGAAUGUAGCUUCUUUCGGGGAGUGUUAUAGCCCUCGGUGCAAUGCAGCCUACCCGGACCGAGGACCGCGCUUCGGCUAGGAUGCUGGCGUAAUGGUUGUAAGCGACC
RNAcentral lists this ribosomal RNA (1148 nucleotides) under uncultured fungus. Its description in RNAcentral is "eukaryotic LSU rRNA". The stretch from base 515 to 1148 matches the Rfam family "Eukaryotic large subunit ribosomal RNA", at positions 1 to 649 of the family's 3401-position model. The record is from RNAcentral. Lineage: Eukaryota; Fungi.